AGUUUGAUCCUGGCUCAGGAUGAACGCUGGCGGCGUGCCUAACACAUGCAAGUCGAGCGGGAGUAUCGCAAACAGAGAUUCGUCAAAGGGAGCGGUAUGAGAGCGGCGGACGGGUGAGUAACGCGUAGGUAACCUACCUUAAGCUGAGGGAUAACCCAGGGAAACUUGGGAUAAUACCACAUAAAGCGGUGGAGUCACAUGGCUUUGCCGCCAAAGAUUUAUCGGCGUAAGAUGGACCUGCGUCUGAUUAGCCAGUUGGUGGGGUAACGGCCUACCAAAGCAACGAUCAGUAGCCGACCUGAGAGGGUGAUCGGCCACAUUGGAACUGAGACACGGUCCAAACUCCUACGGGAGGCAGCAGUGGGGAAUAUUGCACAAUGGGCGCAAGCCUGAUGCAGCAACGCCGCGUGAGCGAAGAAGGUCUUCGGAUCGUAAAGCUCUGUCCUUGGGGACGAAGAAAGUGACGGUACCCAAGGAGGAAGCCCCGGCUAACUACGUGCC
This 501-nucleotide ribosomal RNA is filed under the name uncultured organism. Its description in RNAcentral is "SSU rRNA". It matches the Rfam family "Bacterial small subunit ribosomal RNA", at positions 10 to 509 of the family's 1533-position model. The record is from RNAcentral.